CGUCCGGGACGAUAAUGACGGUACCGGAAGAAGAAGCCCCGGCUAACUUCGUGCCAGCAGCCGCGGUAAUACGAAGGGGGCUAGCGUUGUUCGGAAUUACUGGGCGUAAAGCGUGCGCAGGCGGUUUUGUAAGUCUGUCGUGAAAGCCCCGGGCUCAACCUGGGAAUUGCGAUGGAGACUGCAAGGCUUGAAUCUGGCAGAGGGGGGUAGAAUUCCACGUGUAGCAGUGAAAUGCGUAGAGAUGUGGAGGAACACCGAUGGCGAAGGCAGCCCCCUGGGUCAAGAUUGACGCUCAUGCACGAAAGCGUGGGGAGCAAACAGGAUUAGAUACCCUGGUAGUCCACGCCCUAAACGAUGUCUACUAGUUGUCGGGUUUUAAUUAACUUGGUAACGCAGCUAACGCGUGAAGUAGACCGCCUGGGGAGUACGGUCGCAAGAUUAAAACUCAAAGGAAUUGACGGGGACCCGCACAAGCGGUGGAUGAUGUGGAUUAAUUCGAUGCAACGCGAAAAACCUUACCUACCCUUGACAUGGAAGGAAUCCUGGAGAGAUCCGGGAGUGCCCGAAAGGGAACCUUCACACAGGUGCUGCAUGGCUGUCGUCAGCUCGUGUCGUGAGAU
Molecule: ribosomal RNA, 620 nt
Filed under: uncultured bacterium
Lineage: Bacteria
Description: bacterial SSU rRNA
Rfam family: Bacterial small subunit ribosomal RNA
Source: RNAcentral